Molecule: ribosomal RNA, 126 nt
Filed under: Paederus mesopotamicus
Lineage: Eukaryota; Metazoa; Arthropoda; Insecta; Coleoptera; Staphylinidae
Description: partial 5.8S ribosomal RNA
Rfam family: 5.8S ribosomal RNA
About the family: 5.8S ribosomal RNA (5.8S rRNA) is a component of the large subunit of the eukaryotic ribosome. It is transcribed by RNA polymerase I as part of the 45S precursor that also contains 18S and 28S rRNA. Functionally, it is thought that 5.8S rRNA may be involved in ribosome translocation.
Source: RNAcentral
GCAUCGAUGAAGAACGCAGCUAAUUGCGGGACAACUUGUGAACUGCAGGACACAUGAACAUCGACAUUUCGAACGCACAUUGCGGUCUUAGGAUACUGUUCCUGGACCGCUCCUGGCUGAGGGUCG